This 274-nucleotide long non-coding RNA is filed under the name Sarcophilus harrisii (Tasmanian devil). Its description in RNAcentral is "lncRNA (ENSSHAG00000028728.1)". The record is from RNAcentral. Lineage: Eukaryota; Metazoa; Chordata; Mammalia; Dasyuromorphia; Dasyuridae.
AAAAAAAUCUGCUCUAAUUGAUUUGCUAAGAUCCUGUAACUAUACCAUCUUAUUAUCCACAAAGAGAAGCACUGUUAUGCUACAUCUGCCAACAUGUUCUGGAAGACCUUUUACAAGCUUCUUUUGAACAUAUUUUCUGUGCUUCCUGUAUUCAUGGAUGAUUGGUGUAUCACAUCAUCUGCCCUGAAGAUACAGACAAGCACUUAAUAUGUCAGUGCUCUGACCUUUACAGACAACUAUGGACCGGGGAAGAAAUAAUACAUGAAGAUGGUGG